RNAcentral lists this ribosomal RNA (369 nucleotides) under uncultured phototrophic eukaryote. RNAcentral describes it as "SSU rRNA". It matches the Rfam family "Bacterial small subunit ribosomal RNA", at positions 524 to 896 of the family's 1533-position model. The record is from RNAcentral.
UACGGGGGAUGCAAGCGUUAUCCGGAAUUAUUGGGCGUAAAGCGUCUGUAGGUUGUUUGAUAAGUCUGUUGUUAAAGACUGGGGCUUAACCCCAGGAAAGCAAUGGAAACUGUUAGGCUAGAGUAUGGUAGAGGUAGAGGGAAUUCCUAGUGUAGCGGUGAAAUGCGUAGAUAUUAGGAAGAACACCGGUGGCGAAAGCGCUCUGCUGGGCCAUAACUGACACUCAGAGACGAAAGCUAGGGUAGCAAAUGGGAUUAGAUACCCCAGUAGUCCUAGCCGUAAACGAUGGAUACUAGAUGUUGCGUAACUCUUACAGUGUUUUAGCUAACGCGUUAAGUAUCCCGCCUGGGGAGUACACUCGCAAGGGUG